This 464-nucleotide ribosomal RNA is filed under the name uncultured bacterium. RNAcentral describes it as "partial 16S ribosomal RNA". It matches the Rfam family "Bacterial small subunit ribosomal RNA", at positions 28 to 507 of the family's 1533-position model. The record is from RNAcentral.
GACGAACGCUGGCGGCGUGCUUAACACAUGCAAGUCGAACGGAAAGGCCCUGCUUGCAGGGUACUCGAGUGGCGAACGGGUGAGUAACACGUGGGUGAUCUGCCCUGCACUUCGGGAUAAGCCUGGUAAACUGGGUCUAAUACCGGAUAGGAGCCAUUUUUAGUGGGAUGGUUGGAAAGUUUUUUCGGUGUAGGAUGAGCUCGCUGCCUAUCAGCUUGUUGGUGGGGUAAUGGCCUACCAAGGCGGCGACGGGUAGCAGGCCUGAGAGGGUGGACGGCCACAUUGGGACUGAGAGACGGCCCAGACGCCUACGGGAGGCAGCAGUGGGGAAUAUUGCAGAAUGGGCGCAAGCCUGAUGCAGCGACGCCGCGUGGGGGAUGACGGCCUUCGGGUUGUAAACUACUUUCGCUAGGGACGAAGCUUUUGUGACGGUACCUAGAUAAGAAGCACCGGCUAACUACGUG